CUACGGGCCGCAGCAGUGGGGAAUAUUGCACAAUGGGCGAAAGCCUGAUGCAGCAACGCCGCGUGAGGGACGACGGCCUUCGGGUUGUAAACCUCUUUUAGCAGGGAAGAAGCGAAAGUGACGGUACCUGCAGAAAAAGCACCGGCUAACUACGUGCCAGCAGCCGCGGUAAUACGUAGGGUGCAAGCGUUGUCCGGAAUUAUUGGGCGUAAAGAGCUCGUAGGCGGUUUGUCGCGUCUGCUGUGAAAAUCCGAGGCUCAACCUCGGACCUGCAGUGGGUACGGGCAAACUAGAGUGCGGUAGGGGAGAUUGGAAUUCCUGGUGUAGCGGUGGAAUGCGCAGAUAUCAGGAGGAACACCAAUGGCGAAGGCAGAUCUCUGGGCCGUAACUGACGCUGAGGAGCGAAAGCGUGGGGAGCGAACAGGAUUAGAUACCCGAGUAGUC
Molecule: ribosomal RNA, 444 nt
Filed under: uncultured bacterium
Lineage: Bacteria
Description: partial 16S ribosomal RNA
Rfam family: Bacterial small subunit ribosomal RNA
Source: RNAcentral